GUGCCUAAUACAUGCAAGUCGAGCGAACAGACGAGGAGCUUGCUCCUCUGACGUUAGCGGCGGACGGGUGAGUAACACGUGGAUAACCUACCUAUAAGACUGGGAUAACUUCGGGAAACCGGAGCUAAUACCGGAUAACAUGUUGAACCGCAUGGUUCAACAGUGAAAGACGGUCUUGCUGUCACUUAUAGAUGGAUCCGCGCCGCAUUAGCUAGUUGGUAAGGUAACGGCUUACCAAGGCAACGAUGCGUAGCCGACCUGAGAGGGUGAUCGGCCACACUGGAACUGAGACACGGUCCAGACUCCUACGGGAGGCAGCAGUAGGGAAUCUUCCGCAAUGGGCGAAAGCCUGACGGAGCAACGCCGCGUGAGUGAAGAAGGUCUUCGGAUCGUAAAACUCUGUUAUUAGGGAAGAACAAAUGUGUAAGUAACUAUGCACGUCUUGACGGUACCUAAUCAGAAAGCCACGGCUAACUCUGG
Molecule: ribosomal RNA, 480 nt
Filed under: Staphylococcus epidermidis
Lineage: Bacteria; Bacillati; Bacillota; Bacilli; Caryophanales; Staphylococcaceae
Description: bacterial SSU rRNA
Rfam family: Bacterial small subunit ribosomal RNA
Source: RNAcentral